Molecule: non-coding RNA, 187 nt
Filed under: Arenicellales bacterium
Lineage: Bacteria; Pseudomonadati; Pseudomonadota; Gammaproteobacteria; Arenicellales
Description: 6S RNA
Rfam family: 6S / SsrS RNA
About the family: E. coli 6S RNA was the first non coding RNA to be sequenced, but its function was unknown until recently.
Source: RNAcentral
CACCGCCUGCGGUGUUCGCAAGUUCUCGCCAAUCCCUUAGAACCUGUAUCACAGACCGGGGAUCAUUUUGCAGGCGCCGUUGUGCAUGUCCCGUUUUAUCCGGGAAAGCCUUAAGGCGCCGCAGUGGCCCCACUUGAACCUUUAGGUUCAAGGUACACCGGGAACCUGCGGCACAGGCGGGUGGUGC